Molecule: long non-coding RNA, 220 nt
Filed under: Brassica napus (rape)
Lineage: Eukaryota; Viridiplantae; Streptophyta; Magnoliopsida; Brassicales; Brassicaceae
Description: long non-coding RNA (BNAP_LNC010989)
Source: RNAcentral
CAUAUACAUCCCACGAAUCAACCCAUGGACUUCUGAUUUUGCAAUCUAACCCAAACGAAUAUUCUGAUUUUGCACUAAUGGUCCCUGAAUUCUUGAUGACUAUCCAAAUCGGUCACAAACUUUGGAAAUUGAAAGAAUAACUUCACAAUUUCACCUCAAACUUCUCAAGUGUGCAAUCCAAACCCUAAAUAUGCAAAAGAAUACUCUAAUGCAAUUUAUA